Molecule: long non-coding RNA, 1550 nt
Filed under: Homo sapiens (human)
Lineage: Eukaryota; Metazoa; Chordata; Mammalia; Primates; Hominidae
Description: HSALNT0367086
Source: RNAcentral
UUGACUGAAAGUGUUCAAUAUUUUUAUUUUUUAUUUAUAUAUCUAUUUUGGCUUUUCAGCAUGUCUAUUAUUUUUAUGUCUCCUCUAGUCUUGUCUACUGUCCUAAAAUCAAGUGAAGUCUGAUAAUACCCCACUGUCCCCACCAAAAGCAAACAAACACAAAAAUAAACAGAACUCAACUAAACCUCCCUAUUCAAACUAGUGGAGAUCUUCAUGGCCAAAGAAUACCCCAGAUUACUAAAGGCAUCUCAGAACAGUCAUUUUGCAGGCUUUCAGUUUCUGCUUUCCUUUUUUGCCUGCAAUUUUGCACAAUCAAAUGCACAAAAACAAUGGGAAAGGGGAUUACGUCAAAUGUACGAAAGAAAUGGCAGGAAUCCAGUGGGAAAGACAUGCCCUCCACAUUUGGCAGGAGGCGUGCUGGGAGGCAGUGGCUUUGCAGAGUGAUGAGUCACACUUGAACAGAGGCUCUGGAAGGAAUUAGUUCAAGAGAAGGCUGGAGAGCUCCCUGAAAUGUAUGAGUGCCUCAGGCCAUUAGCAAUGUGUGUGUGAUCACAAUGAGACAAAGGAAACCCUGAGAUCCGCAGACUUUCUUUCAGGAACCAGCAGAGUGUCCCUAGCUGCUCUUUCCUCCCUGGUGGGUGUAAAACCACAGCCCUUCUGUUUUAGUGGGAAAACGUUUCAAGAGGACCACUUUUUAGAAAACUUUGUCUGGGCCAAAGAAUGCAAUAUGAGUGUAAAAUACGUAAAUAGAUAAAGCAAGCCAUGACUCUGAAGGAGAGAUUUGAUCUGCUCAAAGGUCAAUUGGGCCACAAAAUUAAUGAGCUUGAGAAAGACAGGACAAGAGAUGGGAGAGAAGAAAUCUGUGUGUUGAACUCUGCAUCAAUUAACAAAAGCAAAGUUGGCCAUGCAGAAAUCUAAUAAUGUCAAACCAUUGCCCUCAAGGAUGUGAUAAUAAUGACUUCUGCUUGGAGAUGGCAACCAGUUAAUGCAGUAUACUCAGGAGGGCUUUUGAAAGACUGCAAUACAAUUUCCCCAUUUUACAGAUAAAGAAACUGAGGUAUAUUUGAAAAUGGAAGAAAUAACAAUUUUAAUGGUCAGAUGCCAAAAUAUUAAGGUAAAUAAGAGCUGACAUCUGCUAUGCAUCAUAUCCUGUGCGAGAUGCUAGGCUUUUUAAAUGUGUUAAUUCUAAUUAUUCCAUUAAUUUUGUAAAUUAAACGGGACUGUUUCCAUUUGUUGCUAGGUGACAGGGCUGGGAUUUGACACCAAGCCUGUCUCCUUCCAAAGUCUGUUCUUUAUGAUAUCACACAAUGCUGCCUCUCCAUUGAAAAGAUAAGUUUAUUAUGUUUUUAAGUAGUAGAUUGCUUCUUAAAGCAUUUUAUUAACUAUUGUUUUAUCCUCAAAGAAUCUUUUCAGUUUAAUAGGUAUUGUUAACUUUUUGUUAUAGAAAAAGAAACUGAGGUAAAUGAAGACCCACUGACUUGCUUACAAAGGUUAAUCACGUUAUGGGAAAUAAAAUUCAGGUCUUUUGUGUUGAAAGACUGUGCCAUUUA